Molecule: ribosomal RNA, 253 nt
Filed under: uncultured bacterium
Lineage: Bacteria
Description: partial 16S ribosomal RNA
Rfam family: Bacterial small subunit ribosomal RNA
Source: RNAcentral
UACGUAGGGAGCAAGCGUUGUCCGGAAUCAUUGGGCGUAAAGCGCGUGUAGGCGGUUACAUAAGUCUGUUGUGAAAGUCGGAGGCUCAACCUUCGAAAGCCGAUGGAUACUGUGUGACUUGAGUACGGAAGAGGAGAGUGGAAUUCCUGGUGUAGCGGUGAAAUGCGCAGAUAUCAGGAGGAACACCAGUGGCGAAGGCGGCCAUCUGGAUCAACACUGACGCUGAGGCACGAAAGCGUGGGGAGCAAACAGG